RNAcentral lists this ribosomal RNA (212 nucleotides) under uncultured Fusibacter sp. RNAcentral describes it as "partial 16S ribosomal RNA". It matches the Rfam family "Bacterial small subunit ribosomal RNA", at positions 1172 to 1382 of the family's 1533-position model. The record is from RNAcentral. Lineage: Bacteria; Bacillati; Bacillota; Clostridia; Eubacteriales; Fusibacteraceae.
GGUGGGGAUGACGUCAAGUCAUCAUGGCCCUUACGGCCUGGGCUACACACGUGCUACAAUGGCCGAUACAACGGGCAGCGAAGGAGCGAUCCGGAGCGAAUCCUAAAAAGACCGGUCCCAGUUCGGAUUGCAGGCUGAAACUCGCCUACAUGAAGUUGGAGUUGCUAGUAAUCGCGAAUCAGAAUGUCGCGGUGAAUGCGUUCCCGGGUCUU